AGAGUUUGAUCAUGGCUCAGGACGAACGCUGGCGGCGCGCUCAUGCAUGCAAGUCGAGCGAUGCACUCCUUAGCCCGUAGGGGCUUUGACGGAGCGGCGAACGGGUGCGUAACACGUGACUAAUCUACCCCGAAGACCGGGAUAGCCCGGGAAACCCGGAGUUAAUACCGGAUGAUCUCACCGCAGCGCAUGUUGCGGUUAGCAAAGGUUCAGGCGCUUCGGGAUGAGGUCGCGGCCCAUCAGCUGGUUGGUGAGGUAACGGCUCACCAAGGCAACGACGGGUAGCUGGUCUGAGAGGACGAUCAGCCACACUGGAACUGAGAUACGGUCCAGACUCCUACGGGAGGCAGCAGCAGGGAAUCUUGCGCAAUGGGCGAAAGCCUGACGCAGCGACGCCGCGUGGGGGAUGAAGGCCUUAGGGUUGUAAACCCCUUUCACGAGGGAAGAAAAUGACGGUACCUCGAGAAGAAGCCCCGGCUAACUACGUGCCAGCAGCCGCGGUAAUACGUAGGGGGCGAGCGUUGUCCGGAUUUAUUGGGCGUAAAGGGCUCGUAGGCGGCUUGACAAGUCGGCCGUGAAAGCCCAGGGCUCAACCCUGGGACGCCGGUCGAUACUGUCAUGGCUAGGGUCCGGUAGAGGGGAAUGGAAUUCCCGGUGUAGCGGUGAAAUGCGCAGAUAUCGGGAGGAACACCAUUAGCGAAGGCGGUUCCCUGGGCCGGCACCGACGCUGAGGAGCGAAAGCGUGGGGAGCAAAUAGGAUUAGAUACCCUGGUAGUCCACGCCGUAAACUUUGGGUACUAGGCGUGGCGUCUUAUCAACGGACGCCGUGGUCGAAGCUAACGCGUUAAGUACCCCGCCUGGGGAGUACGGCCGCAAGGCUAAAACUCAAAGGAAUUGACGGGAGCCCGCACAAGCGGCGGAGCAUGCGGCUUAAUUCGAUGCGACCCGAAGAACCUUACCUGGGCUUGACAUCACGGGAAAAACCCUGGAAACAGGGUGUGCGUAAGCGUCCGUGACAGGUGGUGCAUGGUUGUCGUCAGCUCGUGUCGUGAGAUGUUGGGUUAAGUCCCGCAACGAGCGCAACCCCUGUCCUAUGUUGCCAGCACGUAAUGGUGGGGACUCAUAGGAGAAUGCCGGGGACAACUCGGAGGAAGGUGG
RNAcentral lists this ribosomal RNA (1158 nucleotides) under uncultured Actinomycetes bacterium. RNAcentral's name for it is "bacterial SSU rRNA". It matches the Rfam family "Bacterial small subunit ribosomal RNA", at positions 8 to 1176 of the family's 1533-position model. The record is from RNAcentral. Lineage: Bacteria; Bacillati; Actinomycetota; Actinomycetes.